Molecule: ribosomal RNA, 494 nt
Filed under: uncultured bacterium
Lineage: Bacteria
Description: partial 16S ribosomal RNA
Rfam family: Bacterial small subunit ribosomal RNA
Source: RNAcentral
GACGAACGCUGGCGGCGUGCUUAACACAUGCAAGUCGAACGGUGAAGCGCCUUCCUUUUUGGUGGGUGUGGAUGAGUGGCGAACGGGUGAGUAACACGUGAGUAACCUGCCCCCUUCUUCUGGAUAACCGCAUGAAAGUGUGGCUAAUACGGGAUAUUCUGCUUCUGUCGCAUGAUGGGUCUGGGAAAGAUAUUGUUUCGGUGGGGGAUGGGCUCGCGGCCUAUCAGCUUGUUGGUGGGGUGAUAGCCUACCAAGGCGGUGACGGGUAGCCGGCCUGGGAGGGUGGACGGUCACACUGGGACAGAGACACGGCCGAGACUCCUACAGGAGGCAGCAGUGGGGAAUAGGGCACAAUGGGCGCAAGCCUGAUGCAGCGACGCCGCGUGAGGGAUGGAGGCCUUCGGGUUGUGAACCUCUUUCGCCAGUGAAGCAGGCCUGCCUCGUUUGUGGGUGGGUUGACGGUAGCUGGAUAAGAAGCGCCGGCUAACUACGUG